RNAcentral lists this long non-coding RNA (394 nucleotides) under Rattus norvegicus (Norway rat). RNAcentral's name for it is "long non-coding RNA NONRATT031013". The record is from RNAcentral. Lineage: Eukaryota; Metazoa; Chordata; Mammalia; Rodentia; Muridae.
CCUGCAGAGAGGACUUAAACGGAGUGGGACUCUGCCCCUCCCAAACCCUGAAUGUUUUGCCACACUUGGAAGUCUCCUUGGACGGGGUGCAGCAAGGUGAGGCCACCAGGGCUGGGGAAUCUCACUCUUCGUGCAGCUGUGCGGUGGGUGUUCCCAACCCUGGCCACCCCUGCUCUCUGCACCCCUACUUCCUACAACCACUCCUGAGCCUGUCCUCCCCCGUGCCUUCCUCGGGCACCUGUUGCUUCUGGAUCCCUAGGAGUCAAGGAGGCUCCCCACCCCUGUGGCUGAGAACUGGACUGUGGCAAGGGCUGGGUGUGUGUGCGUGAAUGAGAGGGAACACGUUUACUGGGUGUGACCAUGUUACCACUCAAUAAAGUUGCCCUGUGACACU